Molecule: ribosomal RNA, 506 nt
Filed under: uncultured bacterium
Lineage: Bacteria
Description: partial 16S ribosomal RNA
Rfam family: Bacterial small subunit ribosomal RNA
Source: RNAcentral
AUUGAACGCUGGCGGCAGGCCUAACACAUGCAAGUCGAACGGUAACAGGAAACAGCUUGCUGUUUCGCUGACGAGUGGCGGACGGGUGAGUAAUGUCUGGGAAACUGCCUGAUGGAGGGGGAUAACUACUGGAAACGGUAGCUAAUACCGCAUAACGUCGCAAGACCAAAGAGGGGGACCGUCGGGCCUCUUGCCAUCGGAGGUGCCCGGAUGGGAUUAGCUAGUAGGUGGGGUAACGGCUCACCUAGGCGACGAUCCCUAGCUGGUCUGAGAGGAUGACCAGCCACACUGGAACUGAGACACGGUCCAGACUCCUACGGGAGGCAGCAGUGGGGAAUAUUGCACAAUGGGCGCAAGCCUGAUGCAGCCAUGUCGCGUGUAUGAAGAAGGCCUUCGGGUUGUAAAGUACUUUCAGCGGGGAGGAAGGGAGUAAAGUUAAUACCUUUGCUCAUUGACGUUACCCGCAGAAGAAGCACCGGCUAACUCCGUGCCAGCCGCCGCAGUAA